AACGAACGCUGGCGGCAUGCCUAACACAUGCAAGUCGAACGAGACCUUCGGGUCUAGUGGCGCACGGGUGCGUAACGCGUGGGAACCUGCCCUUAGGUUCGGAAUAACUCCCCGAAAGGGGUGCUAAUACCGGAUAAUGUCUUCGGACCAAAGAUUUAUCGCCUUUGGAUGGGCCCGCGUUGGAUUAGCUAGUUGGUAGGGUAAAAGCCUACCAAGGCGACGAUCCAUAGCUGGUCUGAGAGGAUGAUCAGCCACACUGGGACUGAGACACGGCCCAGACUCCUACGGGAGGGAGCAGUGGGGAAUAGUGGAAAGUGGGCGAAAGCAUGAUCCAGCAAUGCCGGGUGAGUGAUGAAGGCAUUAGGGUUGUAAAGCUCUUUUACCCGGGAUGAUAAUGACAGUACCGGGAGAAUAAGCCCCGGCUAACUACGUG
RNAcentral lists this ribosomal RNA (433 nucleotides) under uncultured bacterium. Its description in RNAcentral is "partial 16S ribosomal RNA". It matches the Rfam family "Bacterial small subunit ribosomal RNA", at positions 29 to 507 of the family's 1533-position model. The record is from RNAcentral.